CCUACGGGCGGCUGCAGUGAGGAAUAUUGGUCAAUGGGCGCUAGCCUGAACCAGCCAAGUAGCGUGAAGGAUGACUGCCCUACGGGUUGUAAACUUCUUUUAUAAAGGAAUAAAGUGAAGCACGUGUGCCUCUUUGCAUGUACUUUAUGAAUAAGGAUCGGCUAACUCCGUGCCAGCAGCCGCGGUAAUACGGAGGAUCCGAGCGUUAUCCGGAUUUAUUGGGUUUAAAGGGAGCGUAGAUGGGUUGUUAAGUCAGUUGUGAAAGUUUGCGGCUCAACCGUAAAAUUGCAGUUGAUACUGGCAGUCUUGAGUACAGUAGAGGUAGGCGGAAUUCGUGGUGUAGCGGUGAAAUGCUUAGAUAUCACGAAGAACUCCGAUUGCGAAGGCAGCUUACUAAACUGCCACUGACAUUGAUGCUCGAAAGUGUGGGUAUCAAACAGGAUUAGAUACCCGAGUAGUC
This 460-nucleotide ribosomal RNA is filed under the name uncultured bacterium. RNAcentral describes it as "partial 16S ribosomal RNA". It matches the Rfam family "Bacterial small subunit ribosomal RNA", at positions 338 to 795 of the family's 1533-position model. The record is from RNAcentral.